Molecule: non-coding RNA, 73 nt
Organism: Bubalus bubalis (water buffalo)
Lineage: Eukaryota; Metazoa; Chordata; Mammalia; Artiodactyla; Bovidae
Source: the annotation of a RefSeq genome assembly
UCCCUGGUGGCUCAAUUGGUAAAGAAUCUGCCUGCUGUGCAGGAGGCCCAGGUUCAAUCCCUGGGUCAGGAAG